GAAGGGGUGAACGGACCCCCACCGUUUUUUAUCAAGAGGAAGAUCUGUAACUCUAUGAACCAAAAAUAAGAUGCAUAAUCAAAUUUAUGCUGAUAGGACCACGUUUUACCAUAGUAUAGUUGAUUGAUCUACAGUUCUGUAUUUUUGGAUACUAAUUUUACUUCGUUUGAACCUGCUAGUGAUUGGUUCUUUUUUGUGUUAAAUUCACCGUAUUUACUGAUCUGAUUUUAUCUUGUUGUUCAGAGUUUUUGUGCUUAAUCGAGCAAUCAGAUGAUACUAUCGUUUAAGGUGGAGAAAUAAGUCUAUGUGGCUCUCUUCAAUUAAUGUUCCUCUGGCGUGUGGUUAUUGUUUCUUUUGACUGAAAUACAAUUCCAUGCCAUCAGUUUGGAUCAGUUCGCAUAGCCUGCUUAUUAUAAAAAUGUGAGCUUCAAGAAGGAAUAAUGUGAUUGGACUGCGCUUGCAGAUUUUGCAGUGAAUCUGAUAGUAUUAGCUGCGUGAUGGUGGGUACAUUCCACCGCAAUGAUCUUAAACCUGCAGUGACACGGCUAGCAGUACAAGCAUCACCAAAAGGUGCUUCUGCCAGCAUUGGUCACUGCAGCUGCUGCUGCGCUCUGGUGUUCUAGGUCUCCCUGCCCCUGCGCAAAUGUGAAACUGUUGAUGUGGAACCUCAGAAAACCAUAUAUGGCCUGUGUUUAGUUCUAAAAUUUCUCUCUCCAAAUUUCACUAUUCACCUAUCACAUCAAAUCUUUUGACUAAUGUAUGGAGCAUUAAAUGUAAG
Molecule: long non-coding RNA, 778 nt
Organism: Panicum virgatum (switchgrass)
Lineage: Eukaryota; Viridiplantae; Streptophyta; Magnoliopsida; Poales; Poaceae
Exons: 3
Source: RefSeq, a predicted model, not a curated record